AUAGAGGAUGCAGUGUGUGUGUAUGUGUAAGGCAUGCAGUCUGUGUUUGUAUAGAGGAUGCAGUGUGUGUGUAUGUGUAAGGCAUGCAGUCUGUGUUUGUAUAGAGGAUGCAGUGUGUGCAUGUGUAUGGGAUGCAGUCUGUGUUUGUAUAGAGGAUGCAGUCUGUGUUUGUAUAGAUGAAACAGUGUGUGUAUGUGUAAGGGAUGCAGUCUGUGUUUGUAUAGAGGAUGCAGUGUGUGUGUGUAUGUUUAAGGGAUGCAGUCUGUGUUUGUAUAGAGGAUGCAGUGUUUGUGUAUGUUUGAG
Pelobates cultripes (western spadefoot toad) is the source of this 303-nucleotide non-coding RNA. NCBI's taxonomy places the organism in Eukaryota, Metazoa, Chordata, Amphibia, Anura, Pelobatidae. The record is from the annotation of a GenBank genome assembly.